Molecule: ribosomal RNA, 374 nt
Filed under: uncultured bacterium
Lineage: Bacteria
Description: bacterial SSU rRNA
Rfam family: Bacterial small subunit ribosomal RNA
Source: RNAcentral
AUACGUAGGUGGCGAGCGUUGUCCGGAAUUACUGGGCGUAAAGGGUGCGUAGGCGGAUAAUCAAGUCAGAUGUGAAAGUCAUGGCUCAACUGUGGGAGUGCAUUUGAGACUGAAGAUCUAGAGUGCAGGAGAGGGAAGCGGAAUUCCUAGUGUAGCGGUGAAAUGCGUAGAUAUUAGGAGGAACACCAGUGGCGAAGGCGGCUUUCUGGACUGUAACUGACGCUGAAGCACGAAAGCGUGGGGAGCAAACAGGAUUAGAUACCCUGGUAGUCCACGCUGUAAACGAUGAGUAUUAGGUGUAGGGGACGAGAGUCUUCUGUGCCGGAGCAAACGCAAUAAAUACUCCGCCUGGGGAGUACGGUCACAAGACUAAA